CCUUUCCUACGGGGGGCAGCAGUGAGGAAUAUUGGUCAAUGGACGGGAGACUGAACCAGCCAAGCCGCGUGAGGGAUGAAGGUACAGAGUAUCGUAAACCUCUUUUGUCAGGGAACAAAGGCGGGGACGUGUCCCCGGAUGAGUGUACCUGAAGAAAAAGCAUCGGCUAACUCCGUGCCAGCAGCUGCGGUAAUACGGAGGAUGCGAGCGUUAUCCGGAUUUAUUGGGUUUAAAGGGUGCGUAGGCGGAAUAUCAAGUCAGCGGUAAAAAUUCGGGGCUCAACCCCGUCGUGCCGUUGAAACUGG
This 305-nucleotide ribosomal RNA is filed under the name uncultured bacterium. RNAcentral describes it as "bacterial SSU rRNA". It matches the Rfam family "Bacterial small subunit ribosomal RNA", at positions 333 to 636 of the family's 1533-position model. The record is from RNAcentral.